This 446-nucleotide ribosomal RNA is filed under the name uncultured bacterium. RNAcentral's name for it is "partial 16S ribosomal RNA". It matches the Rfam family "Bacterial small subunit ribosomal RNA", at positions 338 to 795 of the family's 1533-position model. The record is from RNAcentral.
CCUACGGGAGGCAGCAGUCGAGAAUCAUUCACAAUGGGGGAAACUCUGAUGGUGCGACGCCGCGUGGGGGAAUGCAGGUCUUCGGGUUGUAAACCCCUGUCAUGUGGGAGCAAAUUAAAAAGAUAGUACCACAAGAGGAAGAGCCGGCUAACUCUGUGCCAGCAGCUGCGGUACUACAGCGGUCUCAAGCGUUGUUCGGAAUCACUGGGCGUAAGGGGUGCGUAGGCGGUUUGGGAAGUCGGGUGUGAAAGGGCGGGGCUCAACCCGCGGACGGCACAUGAUAAUGGGAGACUAGAGUAAAGGAGGGGGAGGCGGAAUUCUCGGUGUAGCAGUGAAAUGCGUAGAGAUCGAGAAGAACACUCGUGGCGAAGGCGGGUUCCUAAACAAUAACUGACGUUGAGGCACGAAGGCCAGGGGAGCGAAAGGGAUUAGAUACCCGAGUAGUC